AUUGAACGCUGGCGGCAUGCUUUACACAUGCAAGUCGAACGGCAGCGCGGGCUUCGGCCUGGCGGCGAGUGGCGAACGGGUGAGUAAUACAUCGGAACGUGCCCAGUAGUGGGGGAUAGCUCGGCGAAAGCCGGAUUAAUACCGCAUACGACCUGAGGGUGAAAGCGGGGGAUCUUCGGACCUCGCGCUAUUGGAGCGGCCGAUGGCAGAUUAGCUAGUUGGUGGGGUAAAGGCCUACCAAGGCGACGAUCUGUAGCUGGUCUGAGAGGACGACCAGCCACACUGGGACUGAGACACGGCCCAGACUCCUACGGGAGGCAGCAGUGGGGAAUUUUGGACAAUGGGCGAAAGCCUGAUCCAGCAAUGCCGCGUGUGUGAUGAAGGCCUUCGGGUUGUAAAGCACUUUUGGCGGGAACGAAAAGGACUGUGCCAAUACCACGGUUCGAUGACGGUCCCCGCAGAAUAAGCACCGGCUAACUACGUG
Molecule: ribosomal RNA, 484 nt
Filed under: uncultured bacterium
Lineage: Bacteria
Description: partial 16S ribosomal RNA
Rfam family: Bacterial small subunit ribosomal RNA
Source: RNAcentral